GGCCGCCUGGCGAAAUGGCAUCGCGUCUGACUACGAUCGGUAAUUUGCACGAGUUAUGCCUUAUCUAGUAAUCAGGAGAUUGCAGGUUCGACCCCUGCGGUGGUCA
This is a non-coding RNA of Marasmius sp. AFHP31, 106 nucleotides long. NCBI's taxonomy places the organism in Eukaryota, Fungi, Basidiomycota, Agaricomycetes, Agaricales, Marasmiaceae. The record is from the annotation of a GenBank genome assembly.